Long non-coding RNA from Callithrix jacchus (white-tufted-ear marmoset), 945 nucleotides. RefSeq lists it as uncharacterized. The record is from RefSeq and is a predicted model, not a curated record. Lineage: Eukaryota; Metazoa; Chordata; Mammalia; Primates; Cebidae.
UCAUGCCUGUCCCAUCUCAGUGAUAUAAAAAUGAAAAUGCAUAUGCAAAUCAAUGAAGCACUUGUCAGUUUGCUCUAAUCUUUUGAAAUUUGUGUCAUUCCAUAGCAACUGAAUCAGUUUCCAAGUCCUUGGCAUAUCAUUCCACAUAUCUCUUGCUUAUUUUAUUUAUUUAAAUUCCUACUAACCUAUUAUGAUCAUUCUUUAUUCUAGGCUUUCAUCCUAUCUUAUCUGCAUUAUUCAAUAGCAAAUUCAAACUACUCCAUUUACAGAAUUUCCUCCCCUUGUAAUGAUCCUGCCAUACAUAUCCUCUGAAUCCUUUGUGGACAACAUAGGGUGACUUACCUAACCUCUGUUCCUACUUGCAUUUCCCUUGUUUGCUCCUACCAUAGGGACUAUAAAAGUUAUCUACAGCAGAAUUCUACUGGGUGGAUGUUGAGAAAAUUUGCCUUCUUCUCAAAUGUGAAGUGACAUGGCAUAAAAUGGAGAGUACUGCUGCUGUUAUUCUUCUUCCUGUUUCUCCCGCUGUUGAACAGAAUAAGUGACCUCUCAUUGAGGAGAGAGGGAAGAAGGACGAACGAAAAUGAGGUUUUCUCUGAUGGCAAGUCAAUUUAAGAGAACCCUCUGAUCAAUGAGUGUGCUUGGUUAAGUAUUUUAGAACAAUGACUCUUGGAGCAAUGGGCAACAGGCUUACAAGCAGUGAAACCAGUCUGCAGUCUAAGAGAGAUGAUGGAGCAAGUAACAUUGGAUAAGGAGAAGUGCAGACAAAUCUGAGAGUAAUGGAAAAGCAAAAUCUGUAAGAUUUGACUCAUUGUGUAUCAGAAUGAGGACGUCUUUUGAGGGAGUUUGACCAGUGUACCUCUUUCUGCAACUAAAGGAAAUUCAGCUACUACUGAGGGACAAACCAAGCACAGACAGAUGUAAGCGAUGAAACUCUACUGCAGGGGG